GACGAACGCUGGCGGCGUGCUUAACACAUGCAAGUCGAACGGAAAGGCCCUGCUUUUGUGGGGUGCUCGAGUGGCGAACGGGUGAGUAACACGUGAGUAACCUGCCCUUGACUUUGGGAUAACUUCAGGUAACUGGGGCUAAUACCGGAUAGGAGCUCCUGCUGCAUGGUGGGGGUUGGAAAGUUUCGGCGGUUGGGGAUGGACUCGCGGCUUAUCAGCUUGUUGGUGGGGUAGUGGCUUACCAAGGCUUUGACGGGUAGCCGGCCUGAGAGGGUGACCGGCCACAAUGGGACUGAGGUACGGCCCAGACUCCUACGGGAGGCAGCAGUGGGGAAUAUUGCACAGUGGGCGGAAGCCUGAUGCAGCAACGCCGCGUGCGGGAUGACGGCCUUCGGGUUGUGAACCGCUUUCGCCUGUGACGAAGCGUGAGUGACGGUAAUGGGUAAAGAAGCACCGGCUAACUACGUG
This 468-nucleotide ribosomal RNA is filed under the name uncultured bacterium. Its description in RNAcentral is "partial 16S ribosomal RNA". It matches the Rfam family "Bacterial small subunit ribosomal RNA", at positions 28 to 507 of the family's 1533-position model. The record is from RNAcentral.